Molecule: RNA transcript, 1995 nt
Organism: Humulus lupulus (European hop)
Lineage: Eukaryota; Viridiplantae; Streptophyta; Magnoliopsida; Rosales; Cannabaceae
Exons: 11
Source: RefSeq, a predicted model, not a curated record
AGCGAUCCAUUAUUUACUUUGCAGAGAAGAGAAGAGACAACAGUCAGAAGAAGUAUCUUGAAACCAAUCAGCCAAAAUUUCAAGCUGAAAUCAGAGAAGCAAUUCUUUUUACACUACUUAACCUUGCUUUUGUUUUCGAUUUUCAACAUCUUUGGAGCACAAAUUGUCUUUGCCAUGCCAGGAAUUAUCUUAGUUUCAGUAUUGGAAUUUGUGGACCUUCCAGUUUCAUCACCUUCUUCAUCAAUAUCAAUAAAGGUUUCAAUGGGGAAAAGAGAAUACCAAACUUGGGACAAAGGAGACUUUUCCUUCCCAUUGACAACUCUCCGUGACAAUUUGACUGUUGUUCUUCAGGAUACUGAGGGCAAUGAGAUAUCACAAGCAGGUGUUGAAACCAAGUCAAUAGUUGGAAAAGGUGUUUGGGAUGAUUUUUUCCCUCUUGAAGGAGGUGGGCAUGUUCACAUGAAGCUGCAGUUUGUACUCAACGAAGCCGAGCGAAACAGAAUCCGCAUAGUGAGAGAAUCUGCAGUGAAAAAGAAACGUGGAGAACCUCUCGAUUGCAGAACUAGUAGUGUUGCAGUUCCUACUGAUGACAGUAGUCAAGUUGCUUCACCUGUUUGGCAUAUGAUCUCAUCAGAUAAAAAUAAAGAGACGUCAUUAGCCAUUCCUUCAACUCAGAGAGUUGAUGUGCAUCUAAGUAAAUUGGAUCAGAGGGAAUCAAAUGAGAAAGUUGAGGCUCAAUCACUUUCUUCUAAGGCUCCUACAAGAGCUGUUUCUUCAAACGAACCAUCUUCAAUGAAGAGUUCAGAACCAAACUCUUCUCGUGGGAGACGAGGAUCUUUGGAGAGGAUUCCAAGUGUCAAGAAAAUAAUAAGUGCCUUCGAAACUAAUGUAGAUCAGGAUAUGAGGCCUCAAAUCAAAUCACCACCAGAAAAACUACUAGAGAAUAAGAUUGGAUUGGACCUCAAGGAAAGCAAGACAGUGAUGAACAUGAAAACUGUUCAGGGUACUGAGAAGUUGGAGGAGUUGAGUACAAUGAAAGGAACGAACACCAGUCAGAAUGGUCUGCUAAAACUAGUACAUAAAGAAGUAGCCUUAAAGGAAGAGGUAUCUCAUGAAGACUUGAUAAGAACAUCAAAUUUUGCAACACCUUCAGCUGCUGAAAGGAUGCCUUAUCAGCAUGGGCCAAAAAGUCAACAUGAUGGUGACAAGCAAAAUUCUGGUGGUAGUUCAGUUGUUGAAGACAGUGAAGCUGAACUUUCUUUGGAACAUUCACAAAGUUCUACUCAUGAUAUGACAUCAGUAGCUGGCUAUGAAAAUAUGGGUGAUUCCUUUAAGGGCUCUGAUGUAUGGAUAUUCCCAGAUCAAGUAAGACGAUUCUGUGUAACAACUGGUGGUAAGAAGUUGAUGGAUUUCAGGGGAGGUUAUAGUAUUAGGCCAGAAGAUCACAAGGAGAAGAUGAACUUUUCCACACCAGAAAAGCCCAAAGAAGAUGGUGGCAUUGGAAGUGAGGUGGACAGAAGCAAGAAAACUCACAAAGGGAGAGAAUUAAAGGCUAAUAGUGAGGAGGUUAAAUCUACUACUGGACCAGUUGGGCAGGUCAUGAAAGUUGCAAUUAUGGUCGGAUUUGGGGUACUUGUUCUCUUUGCAAGACAGAAAUAACAGGUAUAUAUGUCAGACUUUCUGGGUUAUUUUCUCUGAGAAAAGUUCUGUGAAGUGAAAUAGAUAAAAAUCAGGCAAUGAUAUGACUUGAUCAUCAGCGAAGUUUUCAUAUUCACAUUUCAUAUGUAAAUUUUUUCUAAAUGUACUAUUAUGUAUAUAUUAUUGUCCAAGUGAUUAAUUUUUCUUGUAUUUCGAAUUUGGAAUGUUGUAAAUCUUUGGUUGUAAGUGUUAGUUUAAGAGAUAGUUAAAUGUUGAUUUGUUGCAAAUUUUGAUCAUGUUGAAAUUCUUUACCAUGUAUUUCAAUGCUUGAUGAAAAUAAACAAAUUUUUUUUUAAA